Molecule: ribosomal RNA, 253 nt
Filed under: uncultured bacterium
Lineage: Bacteria
Description: partial 16S ribosomal RNA
Rfam family: Bacterial small subunit ribosomal RNA
Source: RNAcentral
UACGGAGGGAGCUAGCGUUGUUCGGAUAUACUGGGCGUAAAGCGCACGUAGGCGGCGUCGUAAGUCAGGGGUGAAAUCCCGGAGCUCAACUCCGGAACUGCCCUUGAAACUGCAAUGCUAGAAUCUUGGAGAGGCGAGUGGAAUUCCGAGUGUAGAGGUGAAAUUCGUAGAUAUUCGGAAGAACACCAGUGGCGAAGGCGACUCGCUGGACAAGUAUUGACGCUGAGGUGCGAAAGCUAGGGGAGCAAACGGG